RNAcentral lists this long non-coding RNA (320 nucleotides) under Scleropages formosus (Asian bonytongue). RNAcentral describes it as "lncRNA (ENSSFOG00015027247.1)". The record is from RNAcentral. Lineage: Eukaryota; Metazoa; Chordata; Actinopteri; Osteoglossiformes; Osteoglossidae.
GCUGGAUAUCUGCAGCUCUGAUGCAGAAAUAACGUUCCAGUGUUUCAGUAACCACUUGUAGACCCUGCUUCAGGUAAAGUUUCUAUGACCUCAGAGCAGAAUAGGUGAAAAACAGAAGUCGGAAAAAUAAAAGUGGCUUCAUCACGAGGUUCCUGUAAACCCUUGCGAGCUCAUCUCUGAAGAAGUCAGGAAGAGAUCCGUUGAGCAGCCUCCUCCAGGGAGAGGAGGUCCUGAUUAGAAGCCGCCGUGACGACGACGACGACGACGAUGGCGGCGGUGCCUCCUGAAGCACGGCGCGCCCAGCAUAUCGGGGGCCAGAC